RNAcentral lists this long non-coding RNA (264 nucleotides) under Bos taurus (domestic cattle). RNAcentral describes it as "long non-coding RNA NONBTAT013557". Lineage: Eukaryota; Metazoa; Chordata; Mammalia; Artiodactyla; Bovidae. The record is from RNAcentral.
UGAAACAUGCAGCAAAGUACAAAGUCAAAAAAAAAAAAGGGGAGGGGAAGUCAAAUAUUUUACAUCUUCCAUAAUCUAGCAUACGUCAUAAGGAGGAACCUCCAUUUAUUGAUACACCAUUAUUCUGUUCUCCAGAUUAUUAAGAGUGUCAGCUGGCUCUAGGAUUUGGUUCACAACUUAAGCAAAAUAUCCCAAACAAAUCCAUGAAUCAUUUAGAAAGACCGUAACGUUUUACAAAUAGCAUUGGCACAUGUUACCUCGUGC